This 890-nucleotide long non-coding RNA is filed under the name Rattus norvegicus (Norway rat). RNAcentral's name for it is "long non-coding RNA NONRATT000346". Lineage: Eukaryota; Metazoa; Chordata; Mammalia; Rodentia; Muridae. The record is from RNAcentral.
UACAAUUGACUUCAGGGGUUCCAGAAACAACAUACAGAGAUAGACUCCACCAGAAGAGGUAAUUUCUGUCCAUAGAUUAAAGCCUCCUAUCUGCCAUAUACCUCAUUUCUACCUGAUUGUCACUGUCUUCACAGCUCCAGCCCAGAUGCUACCAUCAAUGAAAAAUACCUGUGUGAGAAUAACAGAGAUCUGGGGAAGGGGAUUAUUUAGACCUCAGAAUCAGAGAACUGAUGGGGAGGGUCUUGGAUCAGCACUUGGAGAGAAAGAACUUUCACAAUGGAUCUAGAAAUGUCACCACAUUCCCUGAUUCUCUCUCUCCUUGGGACAAGGAAACCCAUGGGACAAGGACAUGGGUCUGAGUCAAAGAGAUACCAGACCCUGUAGCUAAGAAUUGCCUCCUUUCUUCUGACAUGACAGAUGCUUCUGUGAAAAACACACAAUCUGAGGACAAUGGAGAGCUGGACAGUUGGAACCCACCUGAUAAAGACCCCCAUGGAAUUGUGUACGCCCAGGUGAAACCCUCCAGACUUCGGAAGGAUACUACAUCCUGGAGACCCAAAGAGACCCAGGUUGUAACCUACGCCCAGUUGUGCAGCAGGACUCAGGAAUAUGACAACCGCUGAGACCAGCAAGCAGCCAAAGCAAGAAGAAGACCCAGACCCAACAUUCCAUGAAUGAAAACUAGAAAUUUUCUAAGACAGUAUUUGUUUCCAGUGGACUCUGUUUAAUUAAUGGCAGCCAUCAUGAAUCAUGGGUCAUCAGAAACUUCUUAGAAUUUUGGGAAUACACUUUAUUCUUUGUUCAGAGAUAACAAAUAUCCUUAUAUUUUGUAAAUAAAGCUAAAUCUUUCUCAAUAAACAAUUCAUAAAGUGAGAAACAAAUGAAGUGAA